CAGAUCAGGCAUAUGCAGCUCUGACCCCUCAUCUCGCCCCAUGGUCGACCCUGCCAUGGGCAGGCAUGGGCUGGUCGCUGAGGCCCAGGCUGCGGGUGUGUUCUUGGAAUCAUGAAUCAUGUUUAUAGCCCUAGAUCUCCUGGAGUUCCCUAUGCAAAUGCCAAAGGAAUUGGUUAUCCAGCUUGUUUCCCCAUGGGCUAUGCAGCAGCAGCUCCUGCCUAUUCUCCUAACGUGUACCCGGGAGCAAAUCUUACCCCUCCAAAAGGUUACGCUCCCCACAUGCCUUACAAAGUGUCCUGUUCCCUACCAGUGGGGCCCAACCCUACUGCCAUGAACUCUGUGAAAUGCCAACCCCCAGUAAAGCCCAUACACACAGCAAGUCACAUACUAAACACAGCUGCUGUAUGUGGAAACCCCACCUACCACCCAUCACCCAUCAUGUCAUUCACCACACCACGGUGGUGCAGCAUGCCGUGAUGUACCCUGCUCCCUCCUCCCAGUCACCAUGGCAUGGUUGCUAGGACCAUUAUGGCCAUGUCAGUAAGUACCCUGCUGACUGCUCACUCCCCAACUCCUGUUGCCCCCCACCCAGUCACUGUGCCCACCUACCAGACCCCAGGAACACCCAGCUAUAGCUAUGUGCUCCCUCAGUGGUUAUCACCCUGCAAAUGUUUGAGAAUGGAGCUAUGCAGUCACAUCGUUGAGGUUCUGCAGCUAGUGCUACAGGCCUUGUGCCUCCAACCAGGACUUUUUUCUUAAUGCUCUAGACACUUGGCUAAACACGACUACAUCCUGGCCCAGCAGGUCCCAGUGCUGUUAGUUUCCAGCUAAUUCUGUGGGUUGAUCUUAAAGCAAAUCCUGCUUUGUGGACUGCCAGGCAACCUUUUAGCUAACUGUAAUGAUAAAAAAGGAAGUGCUAAUCUAUUCUGAAUCAUAUCUAGUUGAAUGCAUGUUUAAAAAAGAAAACACAAAACAAAGCUUCCUUAAUCUACCUGCAGUGACUGAUGCAAAACUGUCAUAUGCAAAAUCCAAAGGAAUGGAAAUGUAUUUUACAACUUGUG
This is an RNA transcript of Lemur catta (Ring-tailed lemur), 1061 nucleotides long. It is a transcript of the gene named myelin-associated neurite-outgrowth inhibitor-like, with no coding region annotated. Lineage: Eukaryota; Metazoa; Chordata; Mammalia; Primates; Lemuridae. The transcript has a single exon. The record is from RefSeq and is a predicted model, not a curated record.